GCUGCAUUAGCCAUUGCACGAUAAACCAAAAUCUACAUGAAAGAAUAUAUUAAUAUUAAUUAACAUUAGUUGGCUAAUGAGCCUCUUUACAUCCAUUUGAUUUUCAAAGCCAAUUGAUUAAACAAAUCCACAAAUCAGUUAUAAACACCAACCUUAUAUUUGACUCUUGGAUUUUUCGUUGACUUAAACCUGAGUGGAAAUAUUUCAUACAAUUGUAGUAAGCUUCUUGAUCUACUCUGGUGUUGAAUCUAGAUGCUAAAAGGGACCAAUUCACAAUCAUUGGACAUCUAAUAAGUUAUCUCAUCAUCCACUAGAUAUAGAAAAAGUGAAAAAUAGACCUAACUUAUCAUCAGAUAAACUAUCAAUUUGGUCCUUCAAUUAUAGAAAUAUAAUAACAGUUUUGGGAAAAAA
Molecule: long non-coding RNA, 411 nt
Filed under: Trifolium pratense (red clover)
Lineage: Eukaryota; Viridiplantae; Streptophyta; Magnoliopsida; Fabales; Fabaceae
Description: long non-coding RNA (TPRA_LNC010923)
Source: RNAcentral